CCUACGGGUGGCAGCAGUGGGGGAUAUUGCACAAUGGAGGAAACUCUGAUGCAGCGACGCCGCGUGAGGGAAGAAGGUCUUCGGAUUGUAAACCUCUGUCUUUGGGGAAGAAGAUGACGGUACUCAAAGACGAAGCUCCGGCUAACUCCGUGCCAGCAGCCGCGGUAAUACGCAGGGCGCGCAGGUUGUCCGGAAUUACUGGGUGUAAGGGGAGCGUAGGCGGUCGAGGAAUGUGAAUGUAAAAGCUACGGGUUAAACUGGGAGCUGCGUGCAAAACUUGUUGUCUAGAGUGAAGUAGAGGCGGGCAGAAUUCCUAGUGUAGCGGUGAAAUGCGUAGAGAUGAGGAGGAACACCAGUGGCGAAGGCGGCCUCCUGGGCUAUAACUGACGCUGAGGCUCGAAAGCGUGGGGAGCAAACAGGAUUAGAUACCCGAGUAGUC
This 439-nucleotide ribosomal RNA is filed under the name uncultured bacterium. RNAcentral's name for it is "partial 16S ribosomal RNA". It matches the Rfam family "Bacterial small subunit ribosomal RNA", at positions 338 to 795 of the family's 1533-position model. The record is from RNAcentral.